RNAcentral lists this ribosomal RNA (432 nucleotides) under uncultured bacterium. RNAcentral's name for it is "partial 16S ribosomal RNA". It matches the Rfam family "Bacterial small subunit ribosomal RNA", at positions 29 to 507 of the family's 1533-position model. The record is from RNAcentral.
AACGAACGCUGGCGGCAUGCCUAACACAUGCAAGUCGAACGAGGCCUUCGGGUCUAGUGGCGCACGGGUGCGUAACGCGUGGGAACCUGCCCUUAGGUUCGGAAUAACUCCCCGAAAGGGGUGCUAAUACCGGAUAAUGUCUUCGGACCAAGAUUUAUCCCCUUUGGAUGGGGCCGGGUUGGAUUAGCUAGUUGGUAGGGUAAAAGCCUACCAAGGCGACGAUCCAUAGCUGGUCUGAGAGGAUGAUCAGCCACACUGGGACUGAGACACGGCCCAGACUCCUACGGGAGGCAGCAGUGGGGAAUAUUGGACAAUGGGCGAAAGCCUGAUCCAGCAAUGCCGCGUGAGUGAUGAAGGCCUUAGGGUUGUAAAGCUCUUUUACCCGGGAUGAUAAUGACAGUACCGGGAGAAUAAGCUCCGGCUAACUCCGUG